CUUCCCACGCGGUCUCUGGGCUGGUUGAGCUGCGCCGCUGCAGGUAGUGCUGAGUUGCUCCAGUGCCACUGGGUUAGGGUCUCCACAACCGAGCUGGUCUCAGCAAGUGGUGUCCAUACAUGGGGCUCGAACCUGGGUUGAAGGGUCGCCAGAGCGACGGUUGGAGAACGUGGAACUAAGCUGGAGGACACCUGAGUACUCUUAAGCAAUCCCCGUGGGGGAGUUAAUCCUCGAGGAUUGGAACGUAAUUCUCUUUGGCAAAUGGAUGUCACCCACGUUCCCUCGUUUGGGAGACUAGCUUAUGUACAUGUAUGUGUGGACACCUUUUCUCACUUUGUCUGGGCUACAUGCCAAUCAGGAGAGUCUUCUGCCUGAGUUAAACAUCACCUUUUGCAGUGUUUUGUGGUGAUGGGCAUUCCAGCUUCUAUUAAAACAGAUAACGUCCCAGGCUAUACUAGCCAAGCUCUAGCUACAUUUUUCUCUAUAUGGAAUACUAAACACAUUACUGGCAUUCCGUAUAAUUCUCAAGGACAAGCCAUAGUGGAAAGAAUGAAUCCCUCCCUGAAACAGCAGUUGCAAAAGCAAAAAGGGGGAAACAGGGACUAUGGGAUACCCCAUAUGCAAUUGAAUCUAGUAUUAUUGACUUUAAAUUUUUUGAGACUGCCUAAAGGCCAGAUGCUAUCAGCAGCUGAAUAGCAUCUACAGAAACCAGCUGCAAAGACAGAAGCAGAACAACUGGUUUGGUGGAGAGAGCCAAUGAUAAAAAGUUGGGAAAUGGGUAGAAUAAUAACUUGGGGUAGAGGUUAUCCUUGUGUUUCUCCAGGACCAAAUCAACUGCCAAUUUGGAUAUCAUCGAGGCACCUGAAACCUUAUCAUGAGCCUGAUGCUGAGGAAUAGAUUCUGGGAGGAUCCCGAGGAUCCCCUGGUUGCAGCCAUGUUGAGACUGACGCUGAGGGGGACCCCAACUGUCACGAGCAACACCCAUCGAACGCAGCCACCUACCUGGGGACAGAUCAAGAAGCUGUCACAGAUGGCAGAAGAAAACCUAAGGAAAGUGG
RNAcentral lists this long non-coding RNA (1058 nucleotides) under Homo sapiens (human). RNAcentral describes it as "non-protein coding TMCC1-AS1:9". The record is from RNAcentral. Lineage: Eukaryota; Metazoa; Chordata; Mammalia; Primates; Hominidae.